GAUGAACGCUGGCGGCGUGCCUAAUACAUGCAAGUCGAGCGAACGGACGAUAAUCUUGCUUCUCUGAUGUUAGCGGCGGACGUGUGAGUAACACGUGGAUAACCUACCUAUAUGACUGGUAUAACUUCGGGAAACCUGAUCUAAUACCGGAUAAUAUUUUUAACCGCAUUGUUCAAUAGUUUAAUUCGGUCUUGCUGUCUCUUAUAGAUUGAUCCGCGCUGCAUUAGCUAGUUGGUAAGGUAACGGCUUACCAAGGCAACGAUGCAUAGCCGACAUGAGAGGGUGAUCGGCAACACUGGAACUGAGACAGGGAAAAGAGACCUACGGGAGGAAGAAGUAGGGAAUAUUCCGCAAUGGGCGAAAGAAUGAAGGAGCAACGCCGAGUGAGUGAUGAAGGUCUUCGGAUCGUAAAACACUGUUAUUAGGGAAGAAAAUAUGUGUAAGAAAAUGUGCAGAGAUUGACGGUAACUAAUAAGAAAGCAACGGCUAACUACGUG
This 497-nucleotide ribosomal RNA is filed under the name uncultured bacterium. RNAcentral's name for it is "partial 16S ribosomal RNA". It matches the Rfam family "Bacterial small subunit ribosomal RNA", at positions 28 to 507 of the family's 1533-position model. The record is from RNAcentral.